UAAAGCGCUGAUUCCCAAUGCUCUGGUGCCUACACUCACGUCAGCGACGCGCCGUUGCGGCCCCCAAGUCGGUGCUCCGGCAGGCCGUGGAUCUCGCCACUCCGUUCAGGAUUCCUCUUGCAGCGAGGGGCUUGGCACUCGCUGUGCCGGGGUGCUGCUCCUGGGAGGCGCAAGCGCAUCUUCGGCCGGGGCGGGAUCCGCACCGCCGCUUUCCAGAUGCGGUGUCUUCAACGUUUGCUUCGCAGGCUCUUCCCAUUUAUACAGGCCUUGCUUGCGCGCUAGCUCAGAUCCCUUCCAAUUUCUAUCACCAGAGAAGUUAUUUGAGGCAAUAUCAAUGAUCUGUAACCUUGAGAAGUGUCCCUGGGAUUUUCCUCGUCUGUAAGGGUCAUCUAGUGCACCAUAGAACUGAUUGGAUCUCAAGACAAGGACGCGAAGAUUGGAAAGGCUCCCAAGCCAAGAUGGGAAAAUAUCAACAAUUUGAUUGUUUCCGAUGUCAAGAACCUCCAAAUAAGUGCAUUUUGAAAGCGCCCUAGGCAACUUCCCUUGAAUGUUAUUUCCAUUUAUAUCUAUUGUUUGAUGAUUGCAUUGACUUUUAAUAUUGUAAGGAAACUCUCCCUCAAAGUGAUUCCCCCUCAAAUUUAAUAUACUUAA
Molecule: long non-coding RNA, 651 nt
Organism: Panicum virgatum (switchgrass)
Lineage: Eukaryota; Viridiplantae; Streptophyta; Magnoliopsida; Poales; Poaceae
Exons: 2
Source: RefSeq, a predicted model, not a curated record